UAAGGAAUAUUGGUCAAUGGGGGCAACCCUGAACCAGCAACGCCGCGUGGAGGAUGAAGGGUUUCGGCUCGUAAACUCCUUUUAGGUGGGAAGAGCAAGGACGGUACCACCUGAAUAAGUCUCGGCUAACUACGUGCCAGCAGCCGCGGUAAAACGUAGGAGACGAGCGUUAUCCGGAUUUACUGGGCGUAAAGCGCGUGCAGGCGGUUAAGUAAGUCACUUGUGAAAGCGCCCGGCUCAACUGGGCGAGGCCGUGUGAGACUGCUUGACUUGAGAGAGGUAGAGGCGAAUGGAAUUCCGGGUGGAGUGGUGAAAUGCGUAGAGAUCCGGAGGAACACCAGUGGCGAAGGCGAUUCGCUGGGCCUUCUCUGACGCUCAGACGCGACAGCAUGGGGAGCGAACGGG
This 405-nucleotide ribosomal RNA is filed under the name uncultured bacterium. Its description in RNAcentral is "bacterial SSU rRNA". It matches the Rfam family "Bacterial small subunit ribosomal RNA", at positions 355 to 776 of the family's 1533-position model. The record is from RNAcentral.